CAAGAACAGAGUGAAGACUCGUACAAAGAAAAUUCACUGUAUAAACAUCCUGCCCAAGAAAGGAAGGUUCGCCCUUACUCCAUCUGCAGGAUCUAUCUGUUAUUAUUUUAGCAUUGUCAGAUUAAACAGUAAGAUGGCCAAAGGCAGGUUCUCCUUCCCACAGCAUUCUGGGACUGGUACAGCUGCCUAAGAUGACUGACAAGAGAGCUCCCUGGAUAACCAAGGAUGUUGCAUAUAUGAGGAAGAAAAGGAAUGGCUGGCAUCAAAAAGGGCGGCUAAAAGAAUCAAGACUUGAGGUGUCAUCAGUGACAGAAGGGAGAUAGGAUGGCUGCUCCAUCUCUGCUAUGAUCAUGCUAACAUCUAAGUACUGUGGUUGCUCCCUCUUUUUAGGAGUCAUGGAACUGAAGAGCUAGAUUCAACACAGCUCUCCAAGCUGGUGACUGCAAUGCUCGGUGUCCUGUUUUGCUGUUGUUGCCUCUACUGGCAUCUGCAGCAAGCCCAGGAGACAGCAGACACAAAUUUAAUCAACCAAAAAUUUUGAAGUUAGUAAGAAGUGUUUUGGAGAAAGAUCAUAAAGUGGAUCAAACCCUCUAUCAGAGAUUUGGUACUGACAGUCACCAGGGCCAAGCAGGUUGCAUCUCGCAUAAGUACACUGCCAUGCAGACUGCGUCAAUUCACUUCUGCAGCUGGCAUAAAGCAGCAGCCUAGUCUGGACAGAAGAUCAUGUGGGACUACUAACAUACAGUGUUGGAAGUAAAGGUAUUCAAGAGCAAAAAUGAAAAGGUCUAUGUUGAUUUUUUUUUUUUUUUGCUCAUUGGAAUUCAAUUUUUUACUUUAUAUCAAAUUAAAUGUGUGGUUAGAAGCCAUUCUCUUAUAUUGAUAUUGUUAUGUUUGAUGCAUUAAGAAGGAGAAGAUGACA
This is a long non-coding RNA of Athene cunicularia (burrowing owl), 919 nucleotides long. RefSeq lists it as uncharacterized. The transcript is spliced from 5 exons. Lineage: Eukaryota; Metazoa; Chordata; Aves; Strigiformes; Strigidae. The record is from RefSeq and is a predicted model, not a curated record.